UCAAUCCAAAUAAUAUUUCGUUUGUAAUUUUUUUUUCAUCAAACAAAAUAAUUAUUAGAAGGCUAGUCUAGUAUGCCUAGGCAGUACAGUGAAAUACCAUCGCCUGUCCUGUUAAAAUAAUGAAACUACUAACACGAGAGGAUUUGAGCCAUAUUUUAUACACUCAAUUGUUUUGAGCUGUGUACACUGUUUCAUUGAAAUAUUUUUCUGUUUGUUCAGGUUUUAACGUCUAAUAAAGGUAAUUCGUUGAAAAAGUUUAACAAACUGUGAGUGCGAAAGUGCGGGAAAAUGUAACGUAAGCGUCACGGUUUAAAUAUUAAGUGUACUAUCUAUGGCCUAUGGUCACGGUUCUUUCAGAAAGAAUUUUUUGGCGGGAACGCGAGGUGUGAAGUUGUGUGAUUUAUUUUGUCUAUUUAGUGUUUCUUCAGGUUUAAAUGUGUAAUAAUGGUGGUUUAUUACCGUUUAGUAUCUGUGAAAGUGCACAAAUGUGAGGAAAUGAAACAAAGCCGCUGAACGUAACUUCUCGGGAUCCUCCAAAAAGUCCACUGAAAAAAUUUCAGUAAAUGUUUAUUUUACUGAGAUUAUAUUUCAUCCCAUAUCAUCUCAAUUCAUUUCAUUUAAUUUCAUCCCAAUUGAUUAGUGUCUCAAAUUAAUCAUCUUCAUUUCAUUCCACUCCAUAAUAUCAUUUUUCAUAAAAAUAUGAAUAAUAUAAAUUAAAAUAAGACUUAAAAGACUCAGUUACCCGGUCAUAAAAUCUCAUAAAAAAACAAAAAUGUGAUAGGUAGGUACCGUCUCAAAUAUAUUAAGUGUUUAUUCUAUGGGUACCGUACCUACAUAAAUUGAUUCCUAUUCAUUGGUUCAACUCUUUUUAAAAAAAAUCAUAAUCACAAGGAUUCUUAUUAAAAUAGACUAAUAAUGUAAAAGUGAGUACCUACCUAUAUAUAUAGGAAGCAAAAAUUCUAUGACAUCCUUCGAUCAACAAUAGUAACUAGAUUUCGGGUCGGUGCAUAAAAUCCGUCUCGUCAAAUAACAGCGCACUUGAAAUGUGAGCUCUUAUUUUGUUUAGUUCACUUCAAACACAGCCAAUGUCAACCCGUCUCACAAUACCGCAGUGUGUAUUCAAAAGUUGCAAAAAUAAGGCCCGAAAAAGCAAUUUAACGGCCGGAGUAUCUUACUUUCGCUUUCCUAGCAAUCACGUGUGCAGAAUGGAUCUCGAUUGUCGCCAGAGAAACAAGAGAUGACUUUUAUAAGCCAGCUAAGAACUCCGCUUAUUGACACUGGACAUCUUUGCCUUCCGUGCUCACGGCUACUGAAAUGUGGCCGAAACAUUGUAAUAAAAUUACCACGCUUGAAACCGUUUAAA
Molecule: long non-coding RNA, 1363 nt
Organism: Bombyx mori (domestic silkworm)
Lineage: Eukaryota; Metazoa; Arthropoda; Insecta; Lepidoptera; Bombycidae
Exons: 2
Source: RefSeq, a predicted model, not a curated record